Long non-coding RNA from Mya arenaria, 642 nucleotides. RefSeq lists it as uncharacterized. The record is from RefSeq and is a predicted model, not a curated record. NCBI's taxonomy places the organism in Eukaryota, Metazoa, Mollusca, Bivalvia, Myida, Myidae. The transcript is spliced from 3 exons.
UUGAAUGUUACUUCGAACACGUUCCUCUACAAAAUAACCGACCUGUAUUUAGUGUUAUUGCUUCAACAUCAAUCGAAAAAAAUGGCAUCAAUGUAUGCGUCUAAAAAUGUUAAAUUUAGAUGGAGACAAUCCAGAAAUGAGCUGCCAGGAAGUGAUCGAUUUCGGACACGAAGAAACCAUAUUGAGGAGCUGGUCCACCUGUAGGAAGAAUUGCGCUAUUGGUUGGAGCAGCACUAUUCCCCAGCCAUACACCAGCACUUAGUUUGUCAUAGGGAGCAUUUCUGAGCAGUUAUGGAGACCACUAACUAUGCAGUUGUUGCAGUGAAACUUGCACCAGUGUGUUUACUGUGGAAAUAAAGAGACAGUGUCCGGCAAUGAAGACCCAACUCAAGAUCUGACCUUGUAAGGCCAAUAUGAAAUAACUGUGUGGAAAAAUGGGAAAAACCUGCAGUCAGGAAUGCACGGAAAUCAUCAAAAGAACAGUGUUAAAUUAAUCUUGAAUAACUUGACAUUUAUUUUGUUUGACAUAUUUAUUCAUGGUGCAGUGAAAACAUUCUUUUUUCUCAUGGUUAUUUAAAUUUAGAAUUGAUAGGAGGGAACAUCACUAUGUAGUUUCAUGUUCAUAGUCAGAUCAAAACCCAU